UGGGGAACAUUGCACAAUGGGCGCAAGCCUGAUGCAGCCAUGCCGCGUGUAUGAAGAAGGCUUUCGGGUUGUAAAGUACUUUCAGUCGGGAGGAAGGUGUCAAGGUUAAUAACCUUGGCAAUUGACGUUACCGACAGAAGAAGCACCGGCUAACUCCGUGCCAGCAGCCGCGGUAAUACGGAGGGUGCAAGCGUUAAUCGGAAUUACUGGGCGUAAAGCGCACGCAGGCGGUUUGUUAAGUCAGAUGUGAAAUCCCCGGGCUCAACCUGGGAACUGCAUCUGAUACUGGCAAGCUUGAGUCUCGUAGAGAGGGGUAGAAUUCCAGGUGUAGCGGUGAAAUGCGUAGAGAUCUGGAAGAAUACCGGUGGCGAAGGCAGCCCCCUGAACGAAGACUGACGCUCAGGUGCGAAAGCGUGGGGAGCAAACAGG
Molecule: ribosomal RNA, 429 nt
Filed under: Chloroflexota bacterium
Lineage: Bacteria; Bacillati; Chloroflexota
Description: Chloroflexi bacterium partial 16S ribosomal RNA
Rfam family: Bacterial small subunit ribosomal RNA
Source: RNAcentral